Molecule: ribosomal RNA, 361 nt
Filed under: uncultured bacterium
Lineage: Bacteria
Description: partial 16S ribosomal RNA
Rfam family: Bacterial small subunit ribosomal RNA
Source: RNAcentral
CCUACGGGAGGCUGCAGGGGGGAAUAGUGCACAAUGGGGGAAACCCUGAUGCAGCGACGCCGCGUGAGUGAAGAAGUAUUUCGGUAUGUAAAGCUCUAUCAGCAGGGAAGAAAAUGACGGUACCUGACUAAGAAGCCCCGGCUAACUACGUGCCAGCAGCCGCGGUAAUACGUAGGGGGCAAGCGUUAUCCGGAUUUACUGGGUGUCAAGGGAGCGUAGACGGCAGCGCAAGUCUGAAGUGAAAUCCCAUGGCUUAACCAUGGAACUGCUUUUGAAACUGUGCAGCUGGAGUGCAGGAGAGGUAAGCGGUCUUCCUCUUGUAGCGGUGAACUGCGUAGAUCUUAGGAGGCCCACCAGUGGC